This 230-nucleotide ribosomal RNA is filed under the name uncultured bacterium. RNAcentral's name for it is "partial 16S ribosomal RNA". It matches the Rfam family "Bacterial small subunit ribosomal RNA", at positions 15 to 228 of the family's 1533-position model. The record is from RNAcentral.
GAUCAUGGCUCAGGACGAACGCUGGCGGCGUGCUUAACACAUGCAAGUCGAACGAGAAUCUGUGGAACGAGGAUUCGUCCAAGUGAAGCAGAGGACAGUGGCGGACGGGUGAGUAACGCGUGAGGAACCUGCCUUUCAGAGGGGGACAACAGUUGGAAACGACUGCUAAUACCGCAUAACACAUGGGUGUCGCAUGGCACUGAUGUCAAAGAUUUAUCGCUGAAAGAUGG